RNAcentral lists this ribosomal RNA (292 nucleotides) under uncultured bacterium. RNAcentral's name for it is "partial 16S ribosomal RNA". The record is from RNAcentral.
GGACUACUAGGGUAUCUAAUCCCGUUCGCUCCCCUGGCUUUCGUGUCUCAGCGUCAGCAAAUCCCCAGCAGACUGUCUUCACCUUUGGCGUUCCAGACGAUAUCUACGCAUUUCACCGCUCCACCGUCUGUUCCAUCUGCCCCUAGAUUGCUCAAGACCGCCAGUAUAUCCAGCCAUUCCCCGGUUGAGCCGGGGGAUUUCACAAGAUACUUAACGGCCCGCCUACACACGCUUUAAGCCCAGUGAUUCCGCCUAACGCUCGGCACCUCUGUCUUACCGCGGCGGCUGGCAC